AUACACUCGCUCACUGACACACAUACAGUGAGCGAGUGUAUGUGUGUCAGUGAGUGAGUGUGU
RNAcentral lists this microRNA precursor (63 nucleotides) under Pelobates cultripes (western spadefoot toad). Lineage: Eukaryota; Metazoa; Chordata; Amphibia; Anura; Pelobatidae. The record is from RNAcentral.